CGUGUAGGCGGGAGAGAAAGUCGGGCGUGAAAUCCCUGGGCUCAACCCAGGAACUGCACCCGAAACUUCUUUUCUUGAGUGCCGGGGAGGAAAGCGGAAUACCUGGUGUAGAGGUGAAAUUCGUAGAUAUCAGGUGGAACACCAGUGGCGAAGGCGGCUUUCUGGACGGUAACUGACGCUGAGACGCGAAAGCGUGGGGAGCAAACA
RNAcentral lists this ribosomal RNA (207 nucleotides) under uncultured bacterium. RNAcentral describes it as "partial 16S ribosomal RNA". It matches the Rfam family "Bacterial small subunit ribosomal RNA", at positions 568 to 774 of the family's 1533-position model. The record is from RNAcentral.